UAGAUGCGAGAGUAGAGCAUAUCAAUAAGCGGAGGAAAAGAAACUAACAAGGAUUCCCCUAGUAACGGCGAGUGAAGCGGGAAGAGCUCAAAUUUGAAAUCUUAAAGGGUUUCCCUUUACGAAUUGUAGUUUAAAGAAGUGUUUUCUGUUGGAGUUUCGGUAAAAGUUCUCUGGAAUAGGACAUCAUAGAGGGUGAGAAUCCCGUAUUUGACCAUUAUUUUCAGCUGUGUGAUACACUUUCAAAGAGUCGGAUUGUUUGGGAAUGCAGUCCAAAAUGGGUGGUAAAUUUCAUCUAAAGCUAAAUAUUGGCGAGAGACCGAUAGCGAACAAGUACCGUGAGGGAAAGAUGAAAAGAACUUUGAAAAGAGAGUUAAACAGUACGUGAAAUUGUCAAAAGGGAAGCGUUUGACACCAGUGUUGUUUUCUCGAAAAUCAAUUAAAAAAGGCCGGAUUUUGUGUUGUAUUGACCUUAAAAGCUUUCUUCACUCUUUUCUUGUCUUUUUUAAUGCACUUUUCGUUUAACAAGUCAACAUCAGUUUCUUUUGUUGUAAAAGGGUCAUUGGAAGGUGGCUUUCUUUUCGGAGAAAGUGUUUAUAGCCUUUGAUCUCUGCAACCGGAGAGACUGAGGUCUGCAGCGUAGACUCUUCGGGGUUAAAUACAUUUGUGCUAAGCUAUAGCUUUUUAUAGACAACUUGUUGACUAUAGUUUAGUCUUGUAGCUUACUCGCUUAUGCUAUUUUACCUACGCUUAGGAUGUUGACACACGCGCGUGCUCG
RNAcentral lists this ribosomal RNA (775 nucleotides) under uncultured Neocallimastigales. RNAcentral describes it as "partial large subunit ribosomal RNA". It matches the Rfam family "Eukaryotic large subunit ribosomal RNA", at positions 22 to 621 of the family's 3401-position model. Lineage: Eukaryota; Fungi; Neocallimastigomycota; Neocallimastigomycetes; Neocallimastigales. The record is from RNAcentral.